This is a long non-coding RNA of Calidris pugnax (ruff), 573 nucleotides long. RefSeq lists it as uncharacterized. The record is from RefSeq and is a predicted model, not a curated record. The transcript is spliced from 3 exons. NCBI's taxonomy places the organism in Eukaryota, Metazoa, Chordata, Aves, Charadriiformes, Scolopacidae.
AAAAAAAGCAGCAGGAGGUUGUAACACAUCAAGACAUCAUCAGCAAAUGGAAAAAAGCCUCAGGAAAGCUUUGCCUCAGGACUUAGCUUAAUCAUUUGGUCCAGCCCAGCUUCGCCUGGCUCAUGACAUCUCUGGACCUGUGUAUCUGCUGCUGUCUGUACUCAGAGAAUGAUGGACACCUCGGAUUCACCAGCAGGAACACUUUGCUUUGGCCUGCCACGUUAAAGCUGUGAUAUUUGUCUUCAGUGUGUUGGACUGUAGAUUGCAGAAGUACAGCCACUGCUUCCCAAGCUUCACAGCUGCGUCACAAACAACCCCUACAGAGGACACAGAGGAAGGACACACGUCCAGCUGAGCUUCUUGUUAAAGAACUGCAAAGCCGCUCCCAGAUGGCCUCUGGGACUGUAGUUUGUAGCAGAAUAUUCUGAAACUACGGUAGGUGAGGGGCUGAUCCAUCGCCAGCAGAACGUCUGUGCGGCAGAAACGAGGCACUUCCCUAGGAACAGUGUUUUCAUCAGUGUCCAGAGCUCACGUGUCCCUCUGUCCGUUCAGCUGCCUUCUGGUAAUUCCCUC